Molecule: long non-coding RNA, 239 nt
Filed under: Durio zibethinus
Lineage: Eukaryota; Viridiplantae; Streptophyta; Magnoliopsida; Malvales; Malvaceae
Description: long non-coding RNA (DZIB_LNC000584)
Source: RNAcentral
AUAAUGUCGGGUCGGGUAGGGUCGGGUUUUAGGCAUACCCGAACCUGACCCGACCUCGACCCGAAACCCGAAAUUCAAAAAAAAAAACCCGACCCUAUAGGGUCGGGUCGGGCCAAAACCCGUCGGGGACGGGCUUGAUUGCCGUCCCUAGAAGCAGUAGAGGAAGAAAAUUUACAUAAAGUCACUGACCCACUAUAUUUUCCAAGUUAUGGCUCGUACUAGGCCCAAUCCACUCAAAU